Molecule: unclassified non-coding RNA, 302 nt
Filed under: Cyclocybe sp.
Lineage: Eukaryota; Fungi; Basidiomycota; Agaricomycetes; Agaricales; Hemipholiotaceae
Also listed under: 1 other name
Description: partial contains 5.8S ribosomal RNA, internal transcribed spacer 2, and large subunit ribosomal RNA
Rfam family: 5.8S ribosomal RNA (bases 1-52)
Source: RNAcentral
AACGCACCUUGCGCUCCUUGGUAUUCCGAGGAGCAUGCCUGUUUGAGUGUCAUUAAAUUCUCAACCUUUCGAAGUUUAUUCUUCGCUGGGCUUGGACUUGGGGUUUUUUUGCCGGCCCUAAACGGUCGUCGGCUCCCCUGAAAUGUAUUAGCUGGUCUGCCCCUCUCGCGUCCAUUUGGUGUGAUAGUUUUUUGCGCCGUGGACUGUGGAUGUUUUGGGUGACCGCUUCCAACUGUCUUAAUUGACAACCAUUCUUAAUGACUCUUGACCUCAAAUCAGGUAGGACUACCCGCUGAACUUAA